CAAAACCUGGGACAACCUGCCGAAAGGCAAGCUAAUACCGGAUAAGCCUACGAAGUCUUCGGACUUUGAAGGAAAAGAUGGCCUCUGCAUGCAAGCUAUCAUUUUGAGAUGAGCCCGCGGCCCAUCAGCUAGUUGGCGGGGUAAUGGCCCACCAAGGCAACGACGGGUAGCUGGUCUGAGAGGACGAUCAGCCACACUGGAACUGAGACACGGUCCAG
This 218-nucleotide ribosomal RNA is filed under the name uncultured bacterium. Its description in RNAcentral is "partial 16S ribosomal RNA". It matches the Rfam family "Bacterial small subunit ribosomal RNA", at positions 132 to 334 of the family's 1533-position model. The record is from RNAcentral.